CAGCAGCCGCGGUAAUACGGAGGGUGCAAGCGUUAAUCGGAAUUACUGGGCGUAAAGCGUGCGUAGGCGGUUUGUUAAGUCUGUUGUGAAAUCCCCGGGCUCAACCUGGGAAUGGCAAUGGAUACUGGCAAGCUAGAGUGUGUCAGAGGAUGGUGGAAUUCCCGGUGUAGCGGUGAAAUGCGUAGAGAUCGGGAGGAACAUCAGUGGCGAAGGCGGCCAUCUGGGACAACACUGACGCUGAGGCACGAAAGCGUGGGGAGCAAACAGGAUUAGAUACCCCUGUAGUCCCUGUCUCUUAUAC
RNAcentral lists this ribosomal RNA (301 nucleotides) under uncultured bacterium. RNAcentral describes it as "partial 16S ribosomal RNA". It matches the Rfam family "Bacterial small subunit ribosomal RNA", at positions 509 to 807 of the family's 1533-position model. The record is from RNAcentral.